Rosa rugosa (rugosa rose) is the source of this 1285-nucleotide long non-coding RNA. RefSeq lists it as uncharacterized. The transcript is spliced from 4 exons. Lineage: Eukaryota; Viridiplantae; Streptophyta; Magnoliopsida; Rosales; Rosaceae. The record is from RefSeq and is a predicted model, not a curated record.
CGAUCCUUAUUUAGCAUUGUCAACACUUUAAUUUGAGUUUUCUUGUAUUUACUUAUUUUACUUUUAUUUUCCCCAUCAUUUUGGGUUUUUACCACCUUAUUCUUUUACCCCAAAUUUAUCUGCCCAAAGCUGAGCCUUCUCCUUCACACGCAAAACUCAGCUUUUCCUCUUUCCUUGUUCACGUCAGAGUUGGACAGAGAGAAAGGGAGCCUCGUUCAGCUCUUCCCCUCCACGUUUCCAUCAUGCAAAGGGCAACUCCUCCAAGAACAUCAUCUCAGACCUUCAAAAGAGAGAACCCAGGCCAUAAAUCGUCAUUCACCCUUCUCUUCUCACCUUUCCUCUCGUCCCUGGACACAUCAGUCCGUUUACGAGCCCAAAAACACCUAGUUAGAGACCUCCGAUGAAAAAACUUUCUUCAUCAAAGUUGUUCGCCUAUGUCUCCUCUAUCUAGCCUCCAAAUAUCAGCUCCAUCGGAAUUGAUUUGAGACCUGUACACCCCUCGAAGCGGAAGCUGUUCCGGAGCAAGCCUGUUCCGGAUUUCUGCUUAAACUUCCUCUCUUGCUCUACCCGAAUCCCCAACACCUUGCUUGAGACUGAUACCAACAGUUGUCUCUGUUUCACUUUGCAUGUUCGAGAUUGAGCAAACUUCUUGGCCUGUGGCUGGACUCGAUCCAAUCAGCUCCUUCAGCUCUCUUUCCUGUUGAAAUCCUCAAGAGAAGCUCAUCUUUUUUUGUUAGUUUUUGGCUUGACAUCGUGGUGGAAUCUUGUGAAGUGGUGGUUGCUACAAGGUUGCAUUGAGGCCAAGUGCUGCAAGAGAAAGCUCGAGUUCCAGGAGAGGUCAGUUCCUCCUUGAGCCACCGGUGGUGGGCAGUGUGCACCAUGCCCUUGUUAUCUCCCCUUUGUCUCUAGCCUUGUGAUUAAUGAAUUCCGGAAAGUGAUUGGCUAGAUGGACGGUUGUGAUGGAAGUGUGAAAGAUGAUCAAUUGCCGUGGGAUUGUAGUUACGUGGUGACGAUCACGUGGAAGCGCAAACCGGUUUUAUCUACUUCUUUUAUUCAAAACAAUAACUCAUGUUUUUAAACUUAGAUAUGGGGGCGGGCAUGGGCAAUGACUGGAUGUAGGAGCCUAACCCCUACUUUAGUUUGUUUUGCAGGCUGUGUUGUUGAAGCUUGGGCACGGAGGAUAAUCCUUGGAGGACACAAUUUGUUUUACUCUAUUUAAAGUUUAUUUCCUUUCGGCUUGCUUGAUUUCACUAAAGUUUUGUAACAUUAUGUAUGGUUGAUGAUG